GCAGUCGUGGGGAAACGGCAUUAUGUGCUUGCACAUUCUGGACGUCGACCGGCGCACGGGUGAGUAUCGCGUAUCCAACCUGCCCCUUACUUGGGGAUACCCCGUUGAAAGACGGCCUAAUACCCGAUGUGUUUCAUUGACGGCAUCCGAUAUGAAACAAAGGUUUUUCCGGUAAGGGAUGGGGAUG
RNAcentral lists this ribosomal RNA (187 nucleotides) under Prevotella nigrescens. RNAcentral's name for it is "partial 16S ribosomal RNA". It matches the Rfam family "Bacterial small subunit ribosomal RNA", at positions 60 to 233 of the family's 1533-position model. Lineage: Bacteria; Pseudomonadati; Bacteroidota; Bacteroidia; Bacteroidales; Prevotellaceae. The record is from RNAcentral.